Molecule: ribosomal RNA, 503 nt
Filed under: uncultured bacterium
Lineage: Bacteria
Description: partial 16S ribosomal RNA
Rfam family: Bacterial small subunit ribosomal RNA
Source: RNAcentral
AUUGAACGCUGGCGGCAGGCUUAACACAUGCAAGUCGAGCGGGGUGAUGGUGCUUGCACUAUCACUUAGCGGCGGACGGGUGAGUAAUGCUUAGGAAUCUGCCUAUUAGUGGGGGACAACAUCUCGAAAGGGAUGCUAAUACCGCAUACGUCCUACGGGAGAAAGCAGGGGAUCACUUGUGACCUUGCGCUAAUAGAUGAGCCUAAGUCGGAUUAGCUAGUUGGUGGGGUAAAGGCCUACCAAGGCGACGAUCUGUAGCGGGGCUGAGAGGAUGAUCCGCCACACUGGGACUGAGACACCGCCCAGACUCCUACGGGAGGCAGCAGUGGGGAAUAUUGGGCAAAGGGGGGAACCCUGAUCCAGGCAUGCCGCGUGUGUGAAGGAGGCCUUAUGGUUGUAAAGCACUUUAAGCGAGGAGGAGGCUCUUUUGGUUAAUACCCAAGAUGAGUGGACGUUACUCGAAGAAUAAGCACCGGCUAACUCUGUGCCAGCCGCCGCCGUAA